RNAcentral lists this ribosomal RNA (230 nucleotides) under uncultured Chlorophyceae. RNAcentral describes it as "partial Eukaryotic large subunit ribosomal RNA". It matches the Rfam family "Eukaryotic large subunit ribosomal RNA", at positions 1046 to 1276 of the family's 3401-position model. Lineage: Eukaryota; Viridiplantae; Chlorophyta; Chlorophyceae. The record is from RNAcentral.
CUUGACCUAUUCUCAAAGUUUAAAUGGGUAAGAACCCUGGGUUGCUUAAUUGAACCCGGUGGUCGAAUGACGGUUGCUAGUGGGCCAAUCUGGGUAAGCUAGAUUGGCGAUGCGGGAUGAUCCGAACGUCGAGUUAAAGUGCCAAAGUAUCCGCUAACCUAGAUCCCACAAAAGGUGUUGGUUCAUUAAGACAGCAGGACGGUGGCCAUGGAAGUCGGAACCCGCUAAGG